GAAAUGCGAUAAGUAAUGUGAAUUGCAGAAUUCAGUGAAUCAUCGAAUCUUUGAACGCACAUUGCGCCCGCCAGUAUUCUGGCGGGCAUUCCUGUUCGAGCGUCAUUUCAACCAUCAAGCCCCCGGGCUUGUGUUGGGGACCUGCGGCUGCCGCAGGUCCCGAAAACCAGUGGCGGGCUCGCUGUCACACCGGGCGUAGUAGAUUUUUCGUCUCGCCCAGGGCGUGCUGCGGGUUCCGGCCGUUAAAAAGCCUCUCUUUUAACCCAAGGUUGACCUCGGAUCAGGUAGGAAGACCCGCUGAACUUAAGC
This 309-nucleotide unclassified non-coding RNA is filed under the name plant metagenome. RNAcentral describes it as "partial contains 5.8S ribosomal RNA, internal transcribed spacer 2, and large subunit ribosomal RNA". The stretch from base 1 to 105 matches the Rfam family "5.8S ribosomal RNA", at positions 50 to 154 of the family's 154-position model. The record is from RNAcentral.